UCUAAUAUGGCAGAUAAGUGCAAUGAAUUUAAGCUUCAUGUAUAAAGAAAGGCCUUUUAUUAGAA
Molecule: transfer RNA, 65 nt
Filed under: Grylloblatta sculleni
Lineage: Eukaryota; Metazoa; Arthropoda; Insecta; Grylloblattodea; Grylloblattidae
Description: tRNA-Leu
Source: RNAcentral